GACGAACGCUGGCGGUGCGCCUAACACAUGCAAGUCGAGCGGAGAUACUUGAAGGACGUUUUCGGAUGGAAUUUGCGUAUUUUAGCGGCGGACGUGUGAGUAACGCGUGCGUGACCUGCCGUCCACAGGGGGAUAACGUACCGAAAGGUACACUGAUACCGCAUUAGCCCAUAGCACUGCCUGGUGCAGGGGUCAAAGGAGCAAUCCGGUGGAAGCUGGACUCGCGUCCGAUUAGAUAGUUGGUGGGGUAACGGCCUACCAAGUCAGCGAUCGGUAGCCGACCUGAGAUGGUGAUCGGCCAAAUUGGAACUGAGAGACGGUCCAAACGCCUACGGGAGGCAGCAGUGGGGAAGAUUGGGCAAUGGGGGAAACCCUGACCCAGCGAAGCCGCGUGAGGGAAGAAGGUUUUCGGAUUGUAAGCCUCUGUUCUUGGUGAAGAGGGAAAGACGGUAGCCAAGGAAGAAGCCCCGGCUAACUACGUGCCAGCAGCCGCCGUAA
This 498-nucleotide ribosomal RNA is filed under the name uncultured bacterium. RNAcentral describes it as "partial 16S ribosomal RNA". It matches the Rfam family "Bacterial small subunit ribosomal RNA", at positions 28 to 523 of the family's 1533-position model. The record is from RNAcentral.